Molecule: ribosomal RNA, 460 nt
Filed under: uncultured bacterium
Lineage: Bacteria
Description: partial 16S ribosomal RNA
Rfam family: Bacterial small subunit ribosomal RNA
Source: RNAcentral
CCUACGGGUGGCAGCAGUGAGGAAUAUUGGUCAAUGGGCGGAAGCCUGAACCAGCCAAGUAGCGUGCAGGAUGACGGCCCUAUGGGUUGUAAACUUCUUUUAUAUGGGAAUAAAAUGUUCCACGUGUGGGGUUUUGUAUGUACCAUAUGAAUAAGGAUCGGCUAACUCCGUGCCAGCAGCCGCGGUAAUACGGAGGAUCCGAGCGUUAUCCGGAUUUAUUGGGUUUAAAGGGAGCGUAGGUGGAUUGUUAAGUCAGUUGUGAAAGUUUGCGGCUCAACCGUAAAAUUGCAGUUGAAACUGGCAGUCUUGAGUACAGUAGAGGUGGGCGGAAUUCGUGGUGUAGCGGUGAAAUGCUUAGAUAUCACGAAGAACUCCGAUUGCGAAGGCAGCUCACUGGACUGCAACUGACACUGAGGCUCGAAAGUGUGGGUAGCAAACAGGAUUAGAUACCCUAGUAGUC